GACGAACGCUGGCGGCAUGCCUAACACAUGCAAGUCGAACGAGACCUUCGGGCCUAGUGGCGCACGGGUGCGUAACGCGUGGGAACCUGCCCUUAGGUUCGGAAUAACUCCCCGAAAGGGGUGCUAAUACCGAAUAAUGUCUUCGGACCAAAGAUUUAUCGACUUUGGAUGGGCCCGCGUUGGAUUAGCUAGUUGGUAGGGUAAAAGCCUACCAAGGCGACGAUCCAUAGCUGGUCUGAGAGGAUGAUCAGCCACACUGGGACUGAGACACGGCCCAGACUCCUACGGGAGGCAGCAGUGGGGAAUAUUGGACAAUGGGCGAAAGCCUGAUCCAGCAAUGCCGCGUGAGUGAUGAAGGCCUUAGGGUUGUAAAGCGCUUUUACCCGGGAUGAUAAUGACAGUACCGGGAGAAUAAGCUCCGGCUAACUCCGUG
Molecule: ribosomal RNA, 433 nt
Filed under: uncultured bacterium
Lineage: Bacteria
Description: partial 16S ribosomal RNA
Rfam family: Bacterial small subunit ribosomal RNA
Source: RNAcentral